AUACGUAGGGGGCGAGCGUUGUCCGGAAUGACUGGGCGUAAAGGGCGUGUAGGCGGUUGUCUAAGUCUGGAGUGAAAGUCCUGCUUUCAAGGUGGGAAUAGCUUUGGAUACUGGAUGACUUGAGUGCGGAAGAGGUAAGUGGAAUUCCCAGUGUAGCGGUGAAAUGCGUAGAGAUUGGGAGGAACACCAGUGGCGAAGGCGACUUACUGGACUGUAACUGACGCUGAGGCGCGAAAGUGUGGGGAGCAAACAGGAUUAGAUACCCUGGUAGUCCACACUGUAAACGAUGAAUGCUAGGUGUAGGGGGUAUCGACCCCUUCUGUGCCGCAGUCAACACAAUAAGCAUUCCGCCUGGGGAGUACGGCCGCAAGGUUGAAACUCAAAUGAAUUGACGGGG
This 397-nucleotide ribosomal RNA is filed under the name uncultured bacterium. Its description in RNAcentral is "partial 16S ribosomal RNA". It matches the Rfam family "Bacterial small subunit ribosomal RNA", at positions 523 to 918 of the family's 1533-position model. The record is from RNAcentral.